This 36-nucleotide ribosomal RNA is filed under the name Peziza vesiculosa. RNAcentral's name for it is "partial 28S ribosomal RNA". The record is from RNAcentral. Lineage: Eukaryota; Fungi; Ascomycota; Pezizomycetes; Pezizales; Pezizaceae. RNAcentral also lists the same sequence under 1 other name.
GGGUGACCUCAGAUCAGGUAGGGAUACCCGCUGAAC